This is a small nucleolar RNA of Otolemur garnettii (small-eared galago), 104 nucleotides long. NCBI's taxonomy places the organism in Eukaryota, Metazoa, Chordata, Mammalia, Primates, Galagidae. The record is from Ensembl.
GGGGUAUGCUUGGAGCAGGGGCCUGAAAAUGUCUCGUCUGUUAAUAACACACCCAACAGGAAUCUGGGUCAUCGAGGUGAGGGGCACAAAACUUCCCUACAUGU